AUCUCUCCAGGCGCGCACGCAGCCCGGAGCGGGCCGGGGCACAGGGCGCAGGCGGGAGGUCGCAUCUGCAGCUUUGGCGCAAUGAAUCAGGCGCGGCCGCCGCCGCCGCCGCUGCGGAGCGCGUCUGGCAUCCGGAGUCUCCCGGGAUCGAAAAUAAUUUGGGCAAAGCGGUGGGAGGUGGUGCUGUGCUGUGUGCUACAGAUUCCACUGAGUGGGACCCUAAGGCCCAGCGGAACCCCCAUGGCUCCUCCUUGCUCAUUCCAGCAACGAAGAAAAAUGACUGCAUCUGCCCUGAGGACCGCUGUGCACAUUCUCUGAGUUGAUUCAUCAAAAGCCUUUAGCAGAGCGUGAGACUUGGAGGCCACCGUGCACAGAAGCUCAUUUGUGGAAGAGGAGGUUGGUGACUUGGUGGGGCCUCCCUUCUCUGUCAUCAAGGAUGCCCUCCUGUAGUGGCUCAGUGGAAAUGAAUCUGACGAGUAUCCAUGAGGAAGCUGCUUCCGUCUCUGGCCUGGCCUUGCUCAGUGGGUUAAGGAUGUGGCGUUGCCAUGAGCUGUGGUGUAGGUUGCGACGUGACUCAGAUCCUGCGUUGCUGUGGCUCUAGUGUAGGCCGGUAGCUACAGCUCCCAUUCCACCCCAGCCUGGGAACCUCCAUAUGCUGCCGCCCUACAAAGACAAAAAGACAAAAAGACAAAAA
RNAcentral lists this long non-coding RNA (694 nucleotides) under Sus scrofa (pig). RNAcentral's name for it is "lncRNA (ENSSSCG00000054019.1)". Lineage: Eukaryota; Metazoa; Chordata; Mammalia; Artiodactyla; Suidae. The record is from RNAcentral.